Pan troglodytes (chimpanzee) is the source of this 148-nucleotide non-coding RNA. It matches the Rfam family "Metazoan signal recognition particle RNA". From Rfam's summary of the family: The signal recognition particle (SRP) is a universally conserved ribonucleoprotein. It is involved in the co-translational targeting of proteins to membranes. The record is from Rfam. Lineage: Eukaryota; Metazoa; Chordata; Mammalia; Primates; Hominidae.
GCUGGGCGUGGUGGCGCAUGCCUGUAAUCCCAGCUACUCAGGAGGCUGAGGCAGGAGAAUCGUUUGAACCCGGGAGGCAGAGGUUGUGGUGAGCUGAGAUCGCGUCACUGCACUCCAACCUGGGUGACAGAGCGAGACUCCGUCUCAA